UCACCUCAUAGAUCCACUACACCACACUAACAACUCUAACACUACACAUUUAAAAUGGGAGACUCCGCCUACUCCUUCUCCCUAACAACCUUCUCCCGCACGGGCAAACUCCUCCAAAUCGAAUAUGC
This 128-nucleotide non-coding RNA is filed under the name Skeletonema costatum. Lineage: Eukaryota; Bacillariophyta; Thalassiosirophyceae; Thalassiosirales; Thalassiosiraceae. The record is from RNAcentral.